ACUAAAUAGAUACCCGGGUAGUCCACGCUGUAAACGAUGAGUGCUAGAUGCCGGAUUUUUUCGGUGUCGCAGCUAAACGCAUUAAGCACUCCACCUGGGAAGUACGAUCGCAAGGUUGAAACUACAAAGGAAUUGACGGGGGCCCGGCACAAGCAGUGGAGCAUGUGGUUUAAUUCGAUGCAACGCGAAGAACCUUACCUAGGCUUGAAAAGCUUAUGACCGGCUGUGAAAGCAGCUUUCCCGCAAGGGCAUAAGUACAGGUGCUGCAUGGCUGUCGUCAGCUCGUGCCGUGAGGUGUUGGGUUAAGUCCCGCAACGAGCGCAACCCUUACCAUUAGUUGCCACCGGAGCAAUCCGAGCACUCUAAUGGAACUGCCUACGCAAGUAGUGAGGAAGGUGAGGAUGACGUCAAGUCCGCAUGGCCCUUACGCCUAGGGCUACACACGUGCUACAAUGGCCGCCACAACGGGCAGCAAAAUCGCGAGAUGGAGCGAAUCCCUAAAAAGCGG
This 508-nucleotide ribosomal RNA is filed under the name uncultured bacterium. RNAcentral's name for it is "bacterial SSU rRNA". It matches the Rfam family "Bacterial small subunit ribosomal RNA", at positions 772 to 1285 of the family's 1533-position model. The record is from RNAcentral.